GCACGGAAGUGCUCGCACACAGGCACGUCGCCGCCGGAGCCGCUUCCUCUCUCUGUUUGCUGGUCUUACUCGUGCACUCACACCGCAGCGGGUCUGCCACGGCUUCUUCACUGUUUUCUUCCGUGUCUUUGAUAGCCUUGCUCCGUUUCCUUGCCUGUUUGCUGCUGCAUUGGAGUUUGGCUUCACUUGCGCUGCCGUUCACCAGUCGGCGUGUUCCGCUGAGCGUGCUGCCCUCCAUUUCGUCCUCCUGCUUGCAACGGUCUCUGGACGAGCUGCAGAGGUGGGUGAGGGUUGGCCUUCCGACGGCGGCUGCCACGGAGAUUGUGGUCCAGGCUGAGGUGGCGCUGUGUAGGGGGGUGAUCGACGCGUCGAUGGCAGACGGCCUGCCCUCUGCGUGCCCAUGCACUGCGAAGCGACGGACCGCAAGCAUCAGCGCUGUUUCUACUUCCUCAGUGGAGAGUCGCCACGGCGUUCGCAGCGACGCUGGCACGUCUUCGCCGGAGUCGGCAUGGGGCACUCGGAGAGACGGGGUGCUCGCGCACGAGCCGCCGACGGUGGUGACAUGGCGCUGUAGUGACCCGGAUCCGCUCAAUCGUGCCGCUGCUCCGGUCUUCGGCACCUCGGAGAAUAGGAUCUUUAGCGCUUAUGAAGGCCGCUGGCAGGAGGCAGAGGCUCUACCUGCAUCUUUGCCAGUGCUGGAGGGUGCCGCGACCGUUGCUGGUGCUGCCAGAGAGCAGUCUCCCACAACGCCAGCAGCGUCCUCCGCCCAAGGGCCUUCUCCGUUUUCUCUCACGGUCUGUGGGCCGACAGCUGUGACAGCAGCUUCACUGACGGUAACGGCAGUGAGCCGAGUGCCAAAGCAAGUACAAGAGGUCGCCGCAGUUUCCGAGGACGAGCCAACGCUCAGUGCGAGCGGAUCGUUAAAGCCAAGCCGCUCUUACAGCAGAGGCAGGGGCAGCGCCACGCAGCUUUAUCAAUGUGAAGCAGUCGGAAGCUCCCAAGGCGUCCACAGCCCAUCUGCCGGUGGUGAUGCAGCCGUUCUUGCCACGCCCCACGGACAGGGCCGUGCCACUGCUCAGCCGCCGCUGGCAAUGUCACCGCCUGCGCUGGCGUUCCGCGCGAACGCAGAGCACAUGAACACGGUGGGGUUUCCAACUCCGUCGCCGGUGGCGCGCAAGGCAGUGGCUGCCACCGCAGCCAAGUUGUCUUAUGCCGCUCGCUCCUCGGCGUCCCUGUCGUAUAAUCUCUCUCGCCUUCUUCGCCUGUGCUUCCUGCGACGAUGGUGCUGGCGGGCGUGGCGCGUGAGCGACAGCGGACUGCUCGACAGUCAUUUUCGACGUACCAGCAGCAGCGGUCGCGGCGGUGGCAUGACGGACAAUUGCUUUGACGGUGACACCGAUGGCGACGGCAGCUCACAUCGGCCACGCUCUACUAAGGCAGAGCCCCGCUACAGUGUUGGCCGUCUCGGUGACUGUGACGAUGACGACUACUACAAGGGCAGAUCAGUCAGUGCUCUUUCACGGUUGUUGAUGACUCUGUGGGGUCGCUCAUGUAGCGCACCAACGCAGGAGGGAGGCGGCGGUCGUGCCCCCACCACCACUGCUGCUGCCACUCGCCGCCGGCGUCGCGGCAUGGUGACGGCAAGAACGCUUCUCAGUGAUGGCGCUCGCAUUUGCAUUACUUUUUUUCUUUGCUGUUGCUGCUGCCCGUUUACGAAGAAGCUGCUCGGCGAGACUACGCGGCGCCGCAACACCGUUAUUGUGGCCACCGAGAACACCACCGAAAAUGCGAUGUUUGUCCUCCGCCGCGCGUGGGAACGACACCGCGGCCUUCUCGUUACCUUCGCCAUCGCAUGUGCUUUUUUCCUGUGGUGGGUUGGUUUACCGCUCGCCCAGGCUGCCGUUGUGUGUCUGUUGGAGAGUGAAGAGUUGUUUAUCGCGCGGAUGCAGUAUGUUGGGCUGCCAGUCGCGCUUCAUCCACCGACGCACACAAUGGCGGUGCUGCUGCAGCAACCGACCGUGCCACCAACAUUGGUGUCGCUGCGCCGGGUCUCAGUGCUGCCUCGCAACGGUGGCAGUGGGGGGGCUGCUGAAGCGGACCCCGCUGAGGUUGAGGGCAUGUCUAAGUCCGUGCUGCGGCAACUCUUUGACCGCUACCGCACGCGCAGUGCCGCAUUAGCCAUGGAGGGGCUGCGCUUGUCAUACGCGCAACGACAUCCGCGCCUCUUCUUCCUUUCCUCUCGCACUCUGACGGCGUCCCAAGUGCCGUCGUGGACGUUGCACGUGGUGGAGGAUGGCUGCACCGAGUGUCUGCAAGGUCAAGGGUAUGCGGAGGCGGUGAAAGGGAUGGCCGUUGAACUCGACCAAACCUCACCACGCACCGCAGGAGACGAUAAUGUCUCGCGCGCGGCACCGUCGCAGGUCCAGGGAGCGGUGUUUGCCACGUCGAAUGCGCCACUGGGCCGCAUCGGGCCGAUGCUGUUGGCGAUGGCGAGCGUGACGGACGACGUGGAGGUGGCUGCGGAGCUGCGCAAGUGGCGCUGGCUCGCGCCGGUGAGGGCCAGCGAGGCUGGCAAGGACUCGCCUCGUGCGCCACGCGGCUCAUCCAAGUGCGCGUCCUCCACGCCGUAUCUGGCGGUGCUCGGCAUCCCCUCCACCGAUCAACCAGCGCGCGUUGCCUUGCGUGAGGCGCAGCGUCAGACUUGGUUCAAGUACCAUGAGGUCGCACGCACCGAGACUGGUUUUGACGGGGCGCUGCUGCCAUUGUACAUCUUCGGGGCUGUAGAGUGGCCUGCUCUGACUCGGCAGCCUACGGGUGCUCCGGUGGCGCCGAGCUCCCGCGACGACGGCGAGAGGUCCGUCCGCGGAGGAGGCAAGGCCGCUGGAAAGCCUGCGCACCUUGAUGCCGCUUAUGUGAGUAUCGACAGCCAGCGCCUCAGCGCCAACCCCUCACUACUCCUGCCACACAUCCACGACCUCGCCGCCGCGGUGGAGCUUCGGACGGCAACCCUCGCUGCAGCAGCCGGAGCUACCAUCACCGCCGACCAAGACGCUCCGCUGCUGGAGAUGCCUACCGUCACGCAGCGAAGGCGCCGAAUGACACUGCGGCCUUCUUGGCGGAAUGAGCGCUCCACUGACUCGCCCUGCGACGCCAUCGUGGACCAAACCGUAAGGAUGACGGUAGCGUCGGCGACUCCGCCGUCGCUACCGCUUCUGCAGGUGGCGCAGCGCCUUUCCUUACCUGUCGCGCCUCUUGUCACGGCCCCCGCGCGCCUUGUCUGCUACGCAUCGUCGGCCCUCUGGCAGGAGGCGCUGGAGCGUCGGGAUAGCCUCUGGAUCGACAUGCUGACGGAUCGGCGUCCUGCCACCGGCAAGACCGUCGGCGGGGAGGGCAAGUGGGGGCUGAGAGUGGAGGUGGGCAUGAGCCAAAAGCUGAUCCUGUGGCUAAUGUACGCCUACUGUACGUUCCCGGAAGUGCCGUUUAUUAUGAAGGGCGACGAUGAUACGUAUAUUAAGGUGCCGCAGUACCUGAGCGACAUCCGCUACCUGUGGCGUGGCCGCAAGACACGCGUGCCACCGCCGCACGACGUUGAUACGGAGCACGGCACCGUCGAGAACGCACAGCUCACCAAGUCUACAGAGGAGUGUGUGUACUGGGGCAGCAUGCGGCGCUGGAACGGCGAGGUGUACUUCAGUGCCGGCAUGCUCUUGCUGCUCCACCGUCGCCUUGUCCAGGCCGUCGUGGAGGUACGCACGGAGUUCAACAACGAUGUGCUGUACCUCGCCGCGGCUGACUACAGCGCCGCGUACGCCCAUUCCUACUACGCGAGCAUGAUGGACCACGAGGACGUGAUGCUGGGCAAGUUGCUGAUGGAGCGACGCUUCCGAGCUGAUCGGCUGUGCCCGUUUCGGCGCCACUGGUACGUUUGGGAGGACCUGCAGCGCUUUCACGAUCUGCACCGUGGCCGCGUGCGCAACGUGACGUGGGCGUCUGUCGCUCUGCACCGGUGCCGCCCUGCGGAUGCGUAUUACCUGCACUACUUCUUUGCCCAGGAGUACCGCUACAGCGGCAGCAGGGGAGCGGCUGAAAGAUCUGCCCAGGGAGGCCAGGAAGGCGAUGCAAUACUAUGCAACGAGCGUGCGGAGCGCGCGGCACGUCAGGCUGCGCAGAGUUGGGUGGCCGACCGCUUGCGACCGGUGUUGCAGGCAGGCGGCAACGUUGCGGAGGGUGCCGCACGCAAGCUUGAUGCUGCGGCUCUUACAGCAGCGGAGGAGGAGGCUGGAUGGUCCAGUCUUCCCGACGUUCUCUGGGCGGUGCAGAGGGACCGCAGUGUGCACACGCCGCCUUACCUCUCCGACCGUGACGGGGUGGCCAUCGACGAUGUCGAGUACGUGCCGUUCAGCGACGGCGUUCUCGUGUUGAAUGGGCUGAAGGCACGCAUUCUUUCAUGACUACGCAGCCAGGAGAGAGAGGGUGUGCCGCGACCGCCCGAGGAUGCCCGGCGAACACUCCCCUCCCCAGGUGCAUUGCGCCGAUUCGCAUGCGCUGCUCUCGCCAUCACGUAUCGCCAGCUGCCAUUACGACAGAUAAAUUUGUAUUCGCGUAUGUUUGUGCGCCCAUGCGUGCGCGUGCAGACACGCCAUUUUGUGUCAGCAUCUCUUUCCAUGUUGAGGCCCAGACAAAGAAGAAGAGGACACACGCGAAUGUCAUCGCAUACGUCUUCCCCUCCCCUUUUUGCCCCGCGUUCUCUUCGGCCUGCAGCGAUCUGUGUAGAUAACCACCCUUCCCUUCUCUCAUCCGAAGUCUGCCCUUGAUUCCCCUGUCCAUCGCUCCGCCAGCGACCAUGCAGAGGCACGGACGCUCGCGUACGGCCACGCGCGCACCGGUCACCGGCGGAGCCACUCGCAGUGGGGCAAAAGGGAGCGUAGAAGUGCGGAUGGUGACGGGGCGCGGCCGCGACACCAUCGCUCUCGCCCCUCCCACCCUCACCUUUCUGUCUCCCUCACGUGCAUAGGUUAGUCCCAUAUCUUGUCGCCCGCGUUACCUUGUCCAUCUCGUCUUUGUCUGUGUGUCGUUUUCUUUUGGUUGUUCUUGCAUGCUGCGCCCCUCCGCUCUUCCCACAAUUCCUUCACUCCCUCCCUCCACUGAG
RNAcentral lists this unclassified non-coding RNA (5149 nucleotides) under Leishmania donovani. RNAcentral's name for it is "gene:LdHU3.14.1870(CDS-product:phosphoglycan_beta _13_galactosyltransferase_putative)". The record is from RNAcentral. Lineage: Eukaryota; Euglenozoa; Kinetoplastea; Trypanosomatida; Trypanosomatidae.